ACUCUAUUGAUGAUGAAGCCAAGGCCCAGUGGGCCACCAUCUUGGCUUACCUGGGACUACAGGGUUUCCUGUGAUGUGGGACUUCCAGUGCUAAAGCUGGAAUCGUCCUGAGCCAAGAGGGAAAAGUUGGUUACGCUGGAUUAGAGGACCUUACACCAGUCACAUGGCUAGCCCUUAGAACCAUCCUUGAGUGCAAGUAACUCAGGCAGACAUGAAAUUUCUCUGCCUCACCUCCCGCUUCCUGCAAAUCCCUUGAGAAGGAACAGCCAGACUCACCCAGAAGGCCAGACAGCAAAAAUCUGUCGUGCUUCCCAGCAGCCCUGUUUCACAGCAUAGGUAAACUGAGGCCUUCCAAGGUCAAAUCAGUCCCUUGAGGCCUGUGACCACACGUGUCUGGACCCACAUGUUCCUGGGGUCUGGAACUGACAUUGGAAUAUUUGUGGGAAAAAGGAACACUGUUGCUCAGAUUUCAUUUGGGGCACAAACAUGGAUGCAACCUACACAGUCAUUUUGUAAAAUUCCUAAGCUCAAAACAAACAGUGAAGGAAACAUGGCUCUACAUCCAGGUACAGGAGGCCCGUCUCGGUAAACCUCACUCAUGUGAAACUGCCAGCCCCCCAUGGGGAGGUGGAGUGGUAAAAGGAAGUUGAUGAGGUGGGCGGGGCCCAGCGGAGACACUGGAAGAAGGGACAGCUCAGGCUACAGGGCUGCUUCUAGCGGACAGCACCCAGCAACUCACAGACACCGCAUCAAAGCCUUGAAAAAUGACCAUCGCCAGCCUCCCGUCCAUAGACAGGAUGACACUGUCAGCUCUUCUGUGGGGCUCGCCGGCCCCCUGCCCAUCACUGUCAGACACAGCACCUUGUUUCCCUGUACCUGAAAGCAAAUAAAUUAGAUAAAUCUA
Pongo pygmaeus (Bornean orangutan) is the source of this 904-nucleotide long non-coding RNA. RefSeq lists it as uncharacterized. NCBI's taxonomy places the organism in Eukaryota, Metazoa, Chordata, Mammalia, Primates, Hominidae. The transcript has 2 exons. The record is from RefSeq and is a predicted model, not a curated record.